Molecule: ribosomal RNA, 472 nt
Filed under: uncultured bacterium
Lineage: Bacteria
Description: bacterial SSU rRNA
Rfam family: Bacterial small subunit ribosomal RNA
Source: RNAcentral
UGGGGAAUAUUGGACAAUGGGCGAAAGCCUGAUCCAGCCAUGCCGCGUGUGUGAAGAAGGUCUUCGGAUUGUAAAGCACUUUAAGUUGGGAGGAAGGGCAGUAAAUUAAUACUUUGCUGUUUUGACGUUACCGACAGAAUAAGCACCGGCUAACUCUGUGCCAGCAGCCGCGGUAAUACAGAGGGUGCAAGCGUUAAUCGGAAUUACUGGGCGUAAAGCGCGCGUAGGUGGUUUGUUAAGUUGGAUGUGAAAUCCCCGGGCUCAACCUGGGAACUGCAUCCAAAACUGGCAAGCUAGAGUAUGGUAGAGGGUGGUGGAAUUUCCUGUGUAGCGGUGAAAUGCGUAGAUAUAGGAAGGAACACCAGUGGCGAAGGCGACCACCUGGACUGAUACUGACACUGAGGUGCGAAAGCGUGGGGAGCAAACAGGAUUAGAUACCCACGUAGUCCCUGAGCGGGCUGGCAAGGCGCAU